RNAcentral lists this ribosomal RNA (494 nucleotides) under uncultured bacterium. RNAcentral's name for it is "partial 16S ribosomal RNA". It matches the Rfam family "Bacterial small subunit ribosomal RNA", at positions 28 to 507 of the family's 1533-position model. The record is from RNAcentral.
GACGAACGCUGGCGGCGUGCUUAACACAUGCAAGUCGAACGGAAAGGCCUGCUUUCCCUUGUGGAUUGCGGGUACUCGAGUGGCGAACGGGUGAGUAACACGUGAGUGAUCUGCCCCCAACUUGGGUAUAAGCCUGGGAAACUGGGUCUAAUUCCCGAUAGGACUGCAGGGUGGUGCCUGUGGUGGAAAACGAUUUUCUAGUGGUUGGGGAUGAGCUCGCGGCCUAUCAGCUUGUUGGUGGGGUAAUGGCCUACCAAGGCGGCGACGGGUAGCCGGCCUGAGAGGGUGGACGGGCACAUUGGGACUGAGAUACGGCCCAGACUCCUACGGGAGGCAGCAGUGGGGAAUAUUGCACAAUGGGCGGAAGCCUGAUGCAGGGACGCCGCGUGGGGGAUGACGGCCUUCGGGUUGUAAACUCCUUUCGACCGCGAGGAAGCCACCUGGUUGGAAGGGUGGUGACGGUAGUGGUAGAAGAAGCACCGGCUAACUACGUG